This 256-nucleotide ribosomal RNA is filed under the name uncultured Flavobacteriaceae bacterium. RNAcentral describes it as "partial 16S ribosomal RNA". It matches the Rfam family "Bacterial small subunit ribosomal RNA", at positions 1 to 264 of the family's 1533-position model. Lineage: Bacteria; Pseudomonadati; Bacteroidota; Flavobacteriia; Flavobacteriales; Flavobacteriaceae. The record is from RNAcentral.
UGACGAGUUUGAUCCUGGCUCAGGAUGAACGCUAGCGGCAGGCUUAACACAUGCAAGUCGAGGGGUAUAGUUCUUCGGAAUUAGAGACCGGCGCACGGGUGCGUAACGCGUAUGCAAUCUACCUUUUGCAGAGGGAUAGCCCAGAGAAAUUUGGAUUAAUACCUCAUAGUAUAGUGAUACCGCAUGGUACUGCUAUUAAAGUCACAACGGCAAAAGAUGAGCAUGCGUCCCAUUAGCUAGUUGGUAAGGUAACGGC